RNAcentral lists this ribosomal RNA (518 nucleotides) under uncultured bacterium. Its description in RNAcentral is "bacterial SSU rRNA". It matches the Rfam family "Bacterial small subunit ribosomal RNA", at positions 28 to 526 of the family's 1533-position model. The record is from RNAcentral.
GAUGAACACUGGCGGCGUGCUUAACACAUGCAAGUCGAACGAAGCUGUUUAACGGAAGCCUUCGGGUGGAAGUUAAAUAGACUGAGUGGCGGACGGGUGAGUAACGCGUGGGUAACCUGCCCUACACAGGGGGACAACAGCUGGAAACGGCUGCUAAUACCGCGUAAGCGCACAGUACCGCAUGGUACAGUGUGAAAAACUCCGGUGGUGUAGGAUGGACCCGCGUCCGAUUAGCUAGUUGGUGAGGUAAGAGCUCACCAAGGCGACGAUCGGUAGCCGGCCUGAGAGGGCGGACGGCCACAUUGGGACUGAGACACGGCCCAGACUCCUGCGGGAGGCAGCAGUGGGGGAUAUUGGUCAAUGGUCGAGAGACUGAACCAGCCAAGUAGCGUGAGGGAUGACUGCCCUAUGGGUUGUAAACCUCUUUUGUUUGGGAAUAAAGUGCGGUACGCGUACCGCUUUGUAUGUACCUUACGAAUAAGCAUCGGCUAAUUCCGUGCCAGCAGCCGCGGUAAAAC